Molecule: long non-coding RNA, 484 nt
Filed under: Mytilus galloprovincialis (Mediterranean mussel)
Lineage: Eukaryota; Metazoa; Mollusca; Bivalvia; Mytilida; Mytilidae
Source: RNAcentral
UGUUUAACUCCAAUCGAAAAGAGUUGCGCAUUUCGGACAUAUAUGUCUCAAUAUCCUUUUUAAACAAUAAUAAAAUAUCCCAAAGAAAACAAAACUCUUGUGAAAAGUGCUUUUUAAACAGGGAUAUAUGAAAUAGAAAAAGACGCACGUUAAGGAAGACACUUUUCAAGCAAAAAAUAAUAUUGCAGUAGCGUUAAAGCAAGACUGAAUCACUUCUCUCCAACUAGUGACCCAUUUUGCAUUUUCUUAAGUACAAAGUUCAUCCAUAUUUGGUUGCCACUGUCUUUUGUGUUGUAUUUCUAAAUCUUUUUUAAGACAUAUAUACUGCCACAACGGUAACAAAAUAUAUUUCUAAUUGCGUUUCAUGUCAGAAUGUGCAUUUUGAAAGGGGGCGUAUGUUCAAAAAAGGUUAUGAAUUUUUUAAACAUGUCACAUAAAACAAAUCAGCGAGAACAGUAUAUAUAUAUAGACCUAGUUUUUUUUA